GUUGGGAUAGCAGCGACGCCGUCGACAUCGAUACAGGACGGGGAGCAAGUACCAGCGAGGGCGUUUCUUUCUUUCCCUUCCUCUGUCAACAUCGAGGCGGGACGGCAAGCAGGGAGCGACAGCGGUUUUUCUUUUCCAUCCACUACUAUGGUAUUCUUCCGUGUAAUUUUUCUGUGGAUUCAGGACCUCUAGCUGCUUUAAGGUUCAGUUGUGUCGCCAUUGGUGGCGGCUUGGUUCUUCUCUUCGAUCUUUGCUGCUUUGUGUUGUUUGUCUUACUGAAGAUUACCCAUCUGGAUGUAGGCUGUUGAAAUUUCUCCCAAAUUCCUACGAGUAAUCGACGUGGUGAUGGCCGCCGGCGAGCUCCCGGGUGCAUCUUGAGGACUUCAAUGACUUCGCCGGCCUGCCCGUUGCAGGCACUGUAGGAAUCCGCCCUACAGGUCUUGGGAUCUAUUUACUUCUGCUCUUCAUGCGAUUGUUGUCGCUCAAUGUCAGACAGGUCAGAAGAACAAUGCAGACAUUAAUGAAAUAUGUAUCGCGUCGAAGUCAUUAGUGGAGAAUCAUUUGCAAUAGUCUACAAGCACAGAAAUCACGAAACAUGGAAGAAUCUGUAUGAACUGGUUUUCAUUGCUGUUGACCGUGAGGUAUCCCACUUGACACACAACUCACUACUUCACACUUGAUUUACUUAUCAUUACACCCUUACAUGCAAAGUGAAUGUGGAGUUAUCCCAAUUUAAUGGUUGUUUUAUUCACGAGAUUUCAAGUUCUGGGAAAAAAAAAUGCGGUCUCGGUCUUUGCAGGUUCAUUAUAGUCCAGCUUCUUCGACGUGCUGAACCAAGCUACUCUUAUUUGUUUCAAUAUUUAAAUACCAUGAAAAAAAGUCCUUCAAUAUUAUCAUGAUAAAAUUCCAAUGAAGAAUAGAUGUGCAAAGGACAAAACCGAGGGUGCCCCAUGUCAUCCUCCGGGGGCGACCUGGAAACGAACCUUAGGCCCAGUUUGGUAGCUCCUUAUUUUUUAAGUAUUCCAAAAGUACUGCAGUUUCUGAAAAUACUACAGUAUACAAAACUUUGAGGUGUUUGGCUCUAACAGAUAUUGAAGUUUCCAAAACCACAGUAUCCCCAAAACUGUGGUUUUUUUUAAGUAUGUAAAAAGAGGUCCGACCCUCUUUUUUCUAAAACUGAGAAACGAUGCCGUCCUCAUCUUCUCGCUGAUCUAUCACUGCGCUUCCGUCCCUGACAAGCACGCCGUAUUGAUCAUAAACUCAUGCCGAGUUUCUUCCAUUAGCGGGAGGGUCCGUUCUUGCAGCGAUUCUUAAACUCAUGCAAGUUAACCAGAAGAGCGAGCAUGCUUGCAUGUCGUGAUCUAUCACGAUAAGGAAAAGAAAGUGUAUGUAUCAUUCAUGUUUGCAUGCAUGCAAUCUAUAUAGUUGAUUGUCAAUCUAUACAUCAACUCAUGCAACGGGCCUUAUGCAGCUACGGUGUCAGUCAAAACUUGAUUAUCCAUGUGUCAAAACAGCACUUGCCAAACACCUCUGUAGUUUUUCCAAAACUGAGGAAAACUCUGGUUUCAAGAAAAUAAAGUAUUCCGGUGCUUGGCAUUGAAAUACUCUGGUUUUAUAAUACUUCAGUUUUAGAAAAACUUUGUUGUCAAACUAGACCUUAGCUGCCCGGCAAAGCUCGUGCGGAGUCGGCGUGCCCUUCCUUUUCCACUCGCGAGGUAUGCUGAGGUGUUGCAUAUUUGUCUUUGUAUUAUGCUAUUCUAAAGUGAUUAUGGUGAAUCAUCUUCUUUACUAUUUGGCGCAGUUCGCAGGCUGCAAUUUCAGUUGGCAACCUAAUCUUAUAAUGUGCACAGAAGCUUCUUAAUGUAAGAAAAAUAUGUUAAAAUCAUUUACACCUUUGAUAUCAUAGUCUUGCCUGCCAUGUUAAUUGCAGUACUUAAUCUCUUCAGGGGGAGGGGCUAAGCAAGAAGUUGAAUUGGUAAUGCUUACCUCUUCCUUCUACUUUGUUCAGUUUAGAAACACCUUUUAUGUUUGCUUGAUAAAAUGUCAUGCUGCUGUUGGUAUACAUAUAUAACUACACUUCAAUUGACAUAUAUCUCUUAUUGUAGUUUCUUAAACGCCUCUUCUGCCCACCACUUUUAUAACAUGUUCAUGUAAAAUCAAUUGAAUGCCAAGUUCAUUUGCGUAGCAGAUUUCCCAUUCUUGGGCAUCCUUCGAGAAGGAUCUACUUACCUGAAAAGACAGACCAUAAUGAGCACGGAAAACAAAACAAGAACAAACCUUUAGAGGCCUGUUGCAUGUUGGUGGCGUGCCCACUAUGAUUAUAUUUCAAUUCUCUGUCCAUUUUGGGUGCUCCUUCUUUAUAUUUACAGUUAUUCUUUUAUAAACCUCUGCACCUUCAUCUAUAUAACAACCCAUUGAUAUUUGCUUUCAACCAUACAUAGCUAGCUUCCACCAUGUAAAUAUUUUGUUCAUGAACUGCGAUCUAUUGAAUAUUCGGUACUGCAAACAAAAUUAAAAAGCAUAAGAAAUCGAAAAAAUGGAAUUCCAACUAGAUCUUGGCAAUACAAUCACCGCUUAGAAGUGUACUGCAUGGUAUGUUGCUAUUGAAGCUACAGCAGCCAUGGUGCGGAUCAAAGCGUCACUGUUGUAUCUUACAGAUUUGACACAGAUCUCCGAGAUGGCAACUGCAAUUGUGCAUUACUUUAUAUAUUUAUACUUCGUUUUCUAUAUUCUAUGUACUGUUUGAUGCAACAAUUUUCAUUGGUAUGUACAUACAAAGAACUGAUCGAUCAAAUCAAUUGUAGGGGCAAGACCAUAUAACAGUAAUAUUAAAGAGGAGUAUUUUGCUUAGGUACUGAUGUGUACCAAGAUGAUGUUUAGAUAGCUAAAUUCAGGUGUCUGCAAACGAUAUUUGCAAACACUCAGUGUUGAAGCUACCUACAAGAGCUGAUGCAUUUCCAAAGAAGAGUAUCUAGAUAAUAAUGUUACCAAUAGUGUAGAUCAGAACUACUGGAUAAUUCAUGCAUUGUAAUGGGAAUGUGCAACGACAUUGUCUCGCCCAAUAUCCAGCAGGAAUGUGUUCAUGUGCUGUCUGGCUCAGUCCAGUAGAAAUGUGUACCAGCUCGGUCCUGCUCAGUCAAAUGUAUCCAUGUGGUCUCACUCAACAUUAUUCUCCGUGUAAUCCAAUUUAAAUGUCUGUUAGCGCUGUCAA
This is a long non-coding RNA of Lolium rigidum, 3211 nucleotides long. RefSeq lists it as uncharacterized. NCBI's taxonomy places the organism in Eukaryota, Viridiplantae, Streptophyta, Magnoliopsida, Poales, Poaceae. The transcript has 3 exons. The record is from RefSeq and is a predicted model, not a curated record.